RNAcentral lists this unclassified non-coding RNA (244 nucleotides) under fungal sp. Its description in RNAcentral is "partial internal transcribed spacer region". The stretch from base 1 to 46 matches the Rfam family "Eukaryotic small subunit ribosomal RNA", at positions 1786 to 1831 of the family's 1831-position model. The record is from RNAcentral. RNAcentral also lists the same sequence under 1 other name. Lineage: Eukaryota; Fungi.
AAGUCGUAACAAGGUUUCCGUAGGUGAACCUGCGGAAGGAUCAUUAACAAAUCAUUGUAGGCGCAAGCCUAUAUACACCCGUUGUCGGGAAGGGCCUUGGCCCAGACCGACUCUGGUUGCAGCCCUCGGGCUGUAGGCCGCUGUCUGCUUCGGUGGACGGCGGCCACAUAGACGCUUGUAUGUUUGACAGAGUUUAGUUGCAUCGUAACAAAUACAACUUUUAACAAUGGAUCUCUUGGCUCUU